This 21-nucleotide microRNA is filed under the name Theobroma cacao (cacao). RNAcentral describes it as "tcc-miR160c". Its record names the gene tcc-miR160c. The record is from miRBase by way of RNAcentral. RNAcentral also lists the same sequence under 5 other names. Lineage: Eukaryota; Viridiplantae; Streptophyta; Magnoliopsida; Malvales; Malvaceae.
UGCCUGGCUCCCUGGAUGCCA